Molecule: ribosomal RNA, 634 nt
Filed under: Penicillium rolfsii
Lineage: Eukaryota; Fungi; Ascomycota; Eurotiomycetes; Eurotiales; Aspergillaceae
Description: eukaryotic LSU rRNA
Rfam family: Eukaryotic large subunit ribosomal RNA
Source: RNAcentral
UUGACCUCGGAUCAGGUAGGGAUACCCGCUGAACUUAAGCAUAUCAAUAAGCGGAGGAAAAGAAACCAACAGGGAUUGCCUCAGUAACGGCGAGUGAAGCGGCAAGAGCUCAAAUUUGAAAGCUGGCUCCUUCGGGGUCCGCAUUGUAAUUUGCAGAGGAUGCUUCGGGAGUGGCCCCCAUCUAAGUGCCCUGGAACGGGCCGUCAUAGAGGGUGAGAAUCCCGUCUGGGAUGGGGUGCCCACAACCGUGUGAAGCUCCUUCGACGAGUCGAGUUGUUUGGGAAUGCAGCUCUAAAUGGGUGGUAAAUUUCAUCUAAAGCUAAAUACUGGCCGGAGACCGAUAGCGCACAAGUAGAGUGAUCGAAAGAUGAAAAGCACUUUGAAAAGAGAGUUAAACAGCACGUGAAAUUGUUGAAAGGGAAGCGCUUGCGACCAGACUCGCCCACGGGGUUCAGCCGGCAUUCGUGCCGGUGUACUUCCCCGCGGGCGGGCCAGCGUCGGUUUGGGCGGCCGGUCAAAGGCCCUUGGAAUGUAACGCCCCCCGGGGCGUCUUAUAGCCAAGGGUGCCAUGCGGCCAGCCCGGACCGAGGAACGCGCUUCGGCUCGGACGCUGGCAUAAUGGUCGUAAGCGACC